UACGGAGGGUGCGAGCGUUGUCCGGAAUCACUGGGCGUAAAGGGCGCGUAGGCGGUGCGAGAAGCGUGUGGUGAAAGGCCGGGGCUCAACCCCGGCUCGGCCGUGCGGACUCUCGCGCUUGGUGAGUGCUGUAGAGGCGGGCGGAAUUCCGGGUGUAGCGGUGGAAUGCGUAGAGAUCCGGAAGAACACCGGUGGCGAAGGCGGCCCGCUGGGCAGUGACUGACGCUGAGGCGCGAAAGCGUGGGGAGCAAACAGG
This 256-nucleotide ribosomal RNA is filed under the name uncultured bacterium. RNAcentral's name for it is "partial 16S ribosomal RNA". It matches the Rfam family "Bacterial small subunit ribosomal RNA", at positions 524 to 776 of the family's 1533-position model. The record is from RNAcentral.